GAUGAACGCUGGCGGCGUGCCUAACACAUGCAAGUCGAGCGAUUCUCUUCGGAGAAGAGCGGCGGACGGGUGAGUAACGCGUGGGUAACCUGCCCUGUACACACGGAUAACAUACCGAAAGGUAUGCUAAUACGGGAUAAUAUAUAAGAGUCGCAUGACUUUUAUAUCAAAGAUUUUUCGGUACAGGAUGGACCCGCGUCUGAUUAGCUUGUUGGCGGGGUAACGGCCCACCAAGGCGACGAUCAGUAGCCGACCUGAGAGGGUGAUCGGCCACAUUGGAACUGAGACACGGUCCAAACUCCUACGGGAGGCAGCAGUGGGGAAUAUUGCACAAUGGGCGCAAGCCUGAUGCAGCAACGCCGCGUGAGCGAUGAAGGCCUUCGGGUCGUAAAGCUCUGUCCUCAAGGAAGAUAAUGACGGUACUGAGAG
This 429-nucleotide ribosomal RNA is filed under the name uncultured bacterium. Its description in RNAcentral is "bacterial SSU rRNA". It matches the Rfam family "Bacterial small subunit ribosomal RNA", at positions 28 to 485 of the family's 1533-position model. The record is from RNAcentral.